ACGGCAGAUGGGCAGAGGAGACGGGUAGUGUCUGUCCUGAACCUCCUGUCAUUGGAACAAAGAUCUGAGGUUUCUCUCAUCUGCUAACAUCGUUGUGGUUUAGGAUUACAAAGCUGGCCUUUCGGUGCCCGCCUUCCAGUGCCAACCUAGCUACGUUGCCUAAAACGAUCCAUUUUCCUUGCGUGAUCUCCUGGAGACAUCCAAAACCACUUGACUGAUGUGAGAUCAGCUCUCCUUUUCUCUCUCGCCUUCUUCAGCCUGCCCCCAUUUCAAAAUCCAGGCAAACCAAUAUCUAAGUGCAAAACAUGGAUGGCUUUGGCAAAGGGUUCAGGCUUCUCCGCUUUUACCCGAGUAGGCCACCAGCUGUGAAGCCUUCGUCCAGCCUGGGAAAAUACUUUGUGGCUCAAAUUUUUCCCUGAGAUCCUGAAAUCUGAGUGGCCCUCUCUCUCUCUCUGUCUCUCUCACACACACACACACACACACAUGCAUGCAUAUCUUUUCCAACUGUUUAAAAUGUCCAUCUAUCAGUGGGACCUUGAAAAGCAGAGGCAUUGUGCUGCCUGAAGCAAAGGGCAGGGCCUCAACCUCAGCUGAAUCCCAAUUAAUUUCAGUGGGUCUACUCUGAGGAGGGGAGGAAAGAGCUGUCCGUUUUGGUUCUUGCAACGUCUCAUUUUUCCAAUCUUAAAUUCAGU
This is a long non-coding RNA of Rhineura floridana, 692 nucleotides long. RefSeq lists it as uncharacterized. Lineage: Eukaryota; Metazoa; Chordata; Lepidosauria; Squamata; Rhineuridae. The transcript has 3 exons. The record is from RefSeq and is a predicted model, not a curated record.